Molecule: ribosomal RNA, 253 nt
Filed under: uncultured bacterium
Lineage: Bacteria
Description: partial 16S ribosomal RNA
Rfam family: Bacterial small subunit ribosomal RNA
Source: RNAcentral
UACGGAGAGUGCAAGCAUUAAUCGGAAUUAUUGGGCGUAAAGGGCGCGUAGGCGGAAGGGAAAGUCAGAUGUGAAAUUCCAGAGCUCAACUCUGGAGCUGCAUUUGAAACUGUCUUUCUAGAGGGUUGACGGAGAAAACGGAAUUCCACGUGUAGCGGUGAAAUGCGUAGAUAUGUGGAAGAACACCAGUGGCGAAAGCGGUUUUCUAGUUAAUACCUGACGCUGAGGCGCGAGAGCAAGGGGAGCAAACAGG